This 492-nucleotide ribosomal RNA is filed under the name uncultured bacterium. RNAcentral's name for it is "partial 16S ribosomal RNA". It matches the Rfam family "Bacterial small subunit ribosomal RNA", at positions 29 to 507 of the family's 1533-position model. The record is from RNAcentral.
AUUGAACGCUGGCGGCAUGCUUUACACAUGCAAGUCGAACGGUAACAGGCCUUCGGGUGCUGACGAGUGGCGAACGGGUGAGUAAUGCAUCGGAACGUACCCAGAGGUGGGGGAUAACGCAGCGAAAGCUGUGCUAAUACCGCAUGUGGUCUGAGGAUGAAAGCGGGGGACCGAGCAGCAAUGUUUGGCCUCGCGCCUUUGGAGCGGCCGAUGUCGGAUUAGCUAGUUGGUGGGGUAAAGGCCUACCAAGGCGACGAUCCGUAGCUGGUCUGAGAGGACGACCAGCCACACUGGGACUGAGACACGGCCCAGACUCCUACGGGAGGCAGCAGUGGGGAAUUUUGGACAAUGGGCGCAAGCCUGAUCCAGCAAUGCCGCGUGCGGGAGGAAGGCCUUCGGGUUGUAAACCGCUUUUGGCAGGAACGAAACGGUGUCCGCUAAUACCGGGCGCUAAUGACGGUACCUGCAGAAUAAGCACCGGCUAACUACGUG